GUGAAAUAGGCUUGUUGAAGUGUCAUCUUUAUUUUAUUACUUAUCGAUAAUGCCGCCUUUGGUGCCGCCUUUGGUUUGCUUAUCAAUGCACAGCACCUUUUUUCCCACUCUUAAAAAAUAAAACAAUUGUAUUGUCAUGCGAAUGUUUUACCGUGCGUGAAGUAUUAAAUGCAUUUGCCAUUACUAAAUGUGGAACUUUUUAACACACAAACACACAUUUGAUUCAUAUUUAAGCAGUUUUCUUCCUCAAAUGAAUUGGAUGAUGAUAUUAUAUAAUAUUUGCGAGAGGGAGAUAAUCUGAUUUCAUUGGUCCUCAACUCACACAUCAGACACUUCAUUCAAGAUAAUUGUAGUUAGCCCUGGGUUAGCCUGCGCCCUGAAGCAGAUUUACCAAAUUGGCUUAAAGGUGAGCCACUUUCAUGGUACCGGUUAUCCCAAACUGAACUCAGAAUUGACCAAAGUUACCUCACUAACUCCUCAAACUACAUUCAUAGUAUAGUGCAUCUGAUCAGCUAAGCCUGCAUGAAUACUGCUGGAAAUUCCUGAAUGUGUACACAGACACACAGACGUCAAUUAUGUUCAAACUUCCCACUUUACUUUAGAUAAACAAAUUGCAUGUCACUCACGUGUGAGGUUCCCAAAGAGACAAAAGUGUAUUAUUUGCAAAAGUUGACCAGCUUCAGUUGGAAAAGAGAUUCACAAAAAUGUACCUAUUGAAAUUAUUUAUUUAUUUCUGACAGAAUUCCUUUUUGAUCAUGUUUCAGCCUGAUUGUAAUGAGCAUGAAUCAUCUUGGCCUAUCUUUUCCAAUCUCCAUGUUAAUUAAGGCUGAUAAGGCUUAGGACCCCUGAGCAGAUCACUGGAUUUGAGAAGUGUGGUUCUGCUGCUGGCUGGUCCUCUCCCGGUCAUUGGGUCACGGUCGCUGGUCCAGGUUGGGUUCCGCAUCAGGGCCUCCAAGGGACUGAGUGGCGGGCGGGAGGGGCUGCUCUCCCUGGGACUGAGAGAGUGCGAGGUGCUAUAAAGGGACUCAUAGCGAGUGUUGGGUCUGGCGUCUGCCGACGGCCCCCAAGACUCCAACUUCAGGGUGGGUUUCGGGCGAAUAGCUGAUCCCUCGUCAGAUGGUUUGCUAUCCAUGCACCCUCCUCCCAUCACCAAGCCACCUACAUAUUUCCCCUCCUUUUUCAUCUCUCCACACUUUUCAUUCCCAGGUCCACCCUAAAAGGGAAUAAAUGAGAUUAUUAGAAUGGAACUGAUAUGUUUAAAUGAAACUAUUCUCGCAGACACGUACCUAUGAGUGGCUUUUACUUCAAAACUGUCCUACAUACCUGCGUUAGAGUUGAGACAUUGAAGAGAGGAUUGGACUACCUCAGGGAAAACCUUGAGGGUUUGGCUUUCUCUUUGCAUACAAUUCCAAUAUUCACUACCUUGUACCUACCUCUUUCUUGUUGUCAUCUUUCUUUGUUUUUUUCUUAGAUUCUCCCUCAACAUCGGAACAAGAGUCCUGUGACCCCAAAAAAUACCAAUGUAAAUUUAAGGAGAAUGAGUCAAUAAGCUAUUUUGGUAUCACAUGUUUGUGGUCAUAACAAAACUCUCAACUCUCCCUUAUUUGUAUCUUCUUCUUGUCUUUCUCACUUCCAGAGGAAAGACAGUGUUCCAAACAGUAUCAUCUGCAUCUCCAAAUCACAUUUACCUUCUUGUCUUUCUUCUUUUUCUUCUCAUCAUCAUCACUUCCAGAAGAGGAACCCUACAGGGCAAAAAGAGGACGUGGUCCAUCAGAUUCCAGUGUUCACCUCACUGUUGUGCAUCUCCAAAUAACAUUUACCUUUAUGGAGACUUACCUUUUCUUUCUUCUUCUUCUUCUUUUUCUUCUUCUUCUUUUUCUUAUCAUCAUCAUCACUUCCAGAUGAGGAGUCAUCCUAGACACACAUAAAUACAGUACAUGGGGAUGAAAUACUAUCCUAUUUCAUUAGCCUCCACUAUGCGCACUGGGCUCAUAACACAUAGAGGGGCUCAUAAAUAACUCCCAAAUAGAUUUGUGUUACUUACCUUUUUCUUCUUCUUGUCUUUCUUCUUCUUCUUCUUCUUAUCCUUCUUCUUGCCUUUCUUCUUAUCCUUCUUCUUGCCUUUCUUCUUAUCCUUCUUCUUGUCUUUCUUCUUCUUAUCUUCCUCGCUGUCAGAACCAGAAUCCUGGGUACACAGGAGAAGCGAUCCACAGUCACAUUCUGAUUGUUACUGUCGUUAGUUUGAGGAUCACUCUCUAAGACAGUCAAUUAAAAAAGGUACCUUCUUUUUCUUCUUUUUCUUGUCUUCCUCGCUGUCAGAGUCCUGGACACAAAUAUAAAUAUGCUGGUCAUUCAGAUAUGACUAGAUAUCUCAAAUGAACUGUUCUUUAAAACAUGGACCCUCCCCAAUACAGGACAGUUGAGACACACCUUAUCCUUCUUCUUAUUUUUCUUCUUGUCCUUCUUCUUCUUGUCUUCCUCGCAGUCAGAGUCCUGGACUCACAAGAUACAUAUUCU
Molecule: long non-coding RNA, 2517 nt
Organism: Oncorhynchus tshawytscha (Chinook salmon)
Lineage: Eukaryota; Metazoa; Chordata; Actinopteri; Salmoniformes; Salmonidae
Source: Ensembl